This 353-nucleotide ribosomal RNA is filed under the name uncultured Desulfobulbus sp. RNAcentral describes it as "bacterial SSU rRNA". It matches the Rfam family "Bacterial small subunit ribosomal RNA", at positions 1028 to 1382 of the family's 1533-position model. The record is from RNAcentral. Lineage: Bacteria; Pseudomonadati; Thermodesulfobacteriota; Desulfobulbia; Desulfobulbales; Desulfobulbaceae.
CUGGAGACAGGUGCUGCAUGGCUGUCGUCAGCUCGUGUCGUGAGAUGUUGGGUUAAGUCCCGCAACGAGCGCAACCCUUGCCUUAGUUGCCAGCAGUUCGGCUGGGCACUCUAAAGGGACUGCCGGUGUUAAACCGGAGGAAGGUGGGGAUGACGUCAAGUCCUCAUGGCCUUUAUGACCAGGGCUACACACGUACUACAAUGGCCGAUACAAAGGGCAGCGACACUGCGAGGUGAAGCCAAUCCCGUAAAAUCGGUCUCAGUCCGGAUUGGAGUCUGCAACUCGACUCCAUGAAGUUGGAAUCGCUAGUAAUCGUGGAUCAGCAUGCCACAGUGAAUACGUUCCCGGGCCUU